AUAUGUCAUGAUAUAUGUGUUCCUGCUGUGAGAAAUUGGAGGUUUUCUAAAUUUCCCUUGGUUGCACUGAUAACUUCUAAAGUAAGGAAUCAAUCAUGAAGUUUAUGAAACUUGAUACUACUGAUAACUUCUCACGCUAUAAGGUAAAAGCACACCUGAUUAAAUAUGAAAGCAUUUUUAAGAUAUGCUGCAUCAUUAAUGAAUUAUGAAUAGAAGGUUGUUACUAAAUGACUCUUUUUUUCUUUUAAAAUUUUUUUUUUUUUUCCGCUGCCGAUUUCUUUUUAAGUUUCAGGUGAUCUCAUAAUUCAAGUGAAGGGAAGUAGAUAUUUGCUUCACAAGGUCACACAUUGCAGCUUCAAGCAUUCUUCAAAUCUUGCAUACUCCAUGGCUG
Molecule: long non-coding RNA, 391 nt
Organism: Rosa chinensis
Lineage: Eukaryota; Viridiplantae; Streptophyta; Magnoliopsida; Rosales; Rosaceae
Exons: 3
Source: RefSeq, a predicted model, not a curated record